GACGAACGCUGGCGGCGUGCCUAAUACAUGCAAGUUGAGCGCUGAAGGUUGGUACUUGUACCAACUGGAUGAGCAGCGAACGGGUGAGUAACGCGUGGGGAAUCUGCCUUUGAGCGGGGGACAACAUUUGGAAACGAAUGCUAAUACCGCAUAAAAACUUUAAACACAAGUUUUAAGUUUGAAAGAUGCAAUUGCAUCACUCAAAGAUGAUCCCGCGUUGUAUUAGCUAGUUGGUGAGGUAAAGGCUCACCAAGGCGAUGAUACAUAGCCGACCUGAGAGGGUGAUCGGCCACAUUGGGACUGAGACACGGCCCAAACUCCUACGGGAGGCAGCAGUAGGGAAUCUUCGGCAAUGGACGAAAGUCUGACCGAGCAACGCCGCGUGAGGGAAGAAGGUUUUCGGAUCGGAAAACUCUGUUGGUAGAGAAGAACGUUGGUGAGAGUGGAAAGCUCAUCAAGUGACGGUAACUACCCAGAAAGGGACGGCUAACUACGUG
This 497-nucleotide ribosomal RNA is filed under the name uncultured bacterium. RNAcentral's name for it is "partial 16S ribosomal RNA". It matches the Rfam family "Bacterial small subunit ribosomal RNA", at positions 28 to 507 of the family's 1533-position model. The record is from RNAcentral.